RNAcentral lists this transfer RNA (66 nucleotides) under Diphyllobothrium balaenopterae (whale tapeworm). RNAcentral describes it as "tRNA-Met". Lineage: Eukaryota; Metazoa; Platyhelminthes; Cestoda; Diphyllobothriidea; Diphyllobothriidae. The record is from RNAcentral.
AGGCUGAUAAGUUAAUUUAAACUGUGGGGUUCAUGUCCCCUUAAUAUGCAUUUUGCAUUUGGCUGA